This 253-nucleotide ribosomal RNA is filed under the name uncultured bacterium. RNAcentral's name for it is "partial 16S ribosomal RNA". It matches the Rfam family "Bacterial small subunit ribosomal RNA", at positions 524 to 776 of the family's 1533-position model. The record is from RNAcentral.
UACGUGAGGGGCGAACGUUGUUCGGUGUCACUGGGCUUAAAGGGCGCGUAGGUGGCUGCGUAAGUAAGGUGUGAAAGCCCUCGGCUUACCCGGGGAAUUGCGCCUUAUACUGCGUGGCUUGAGGAUCUCAGGGGAAUGGGGAACUCCAGGUGUAGCGGUGAAAUGCGCAGAUAUCUGGGGGAAGGCCGGCGGCGAAGGCGCCAUUCUGGGAGAUUCCUGACACUGAGGCGCGAAAGCUGGGGGAGCAAACAGG